AGAGUUUGAUCAUGGCUCAGGACGAACGCUGGCGGCACGCUUAACACAUGCAAGUCGAACGAGAGAAGAGGAGCUUGCUUUUCUGAUCUAGUGGCGGACGGGUGAGUAACACGUGAGCAAUCUGCCUUUCAGAGGGGGAUACCGAUUGGAAACGAUCGUUAAUACCGCAUAACAUAAUUGAACCGCAUGAUUUGAUUAUCAAAGAUUUAUCGCUGAAAGAUGAGCUCGCGUCUGAUUAGCUAGUUGGUAAGGUAACGGCUUACCAAGGCGACGAUCAGUAGCCGGACUGAGAGGUUGAUCGGCCACAUUGGGACUGAGACACGGCCCAGACUCCUACGGGAGGCAGCAGUGGGGAAUAUUGCACAAUGGAGGAAACUCUGAUGCAGCGAUGCCGCGUGAGGGAAGAAGGUUUUAGGAUUGUAAACCUCUGUCUUCAGGGACGAAAAAAGACGGUACCUGAGGAGGAAGCUCCGGCUAACUACGUGCCAGCAGCCGCGGUAAUACGUAGGGAGCGAGCGUUGUCCGGAAUUACUGGGUGUAAAGGGAGCGUAGGCGGGAUCGCAAGUCAGAUGUGAAAACUAUGGGCUUAACCCAUAAACUGCAUUUGAAACUGUGGUUCUUGAGUGAAGUAGAGGUAAGCGGAAUUCCUAGUGUAGCGGUGAAAUGCGUAGAUAUUAGGAGGAACAUCAGUGGCGAAGGCGGCUUACUGGGCUUUAACUGACGCUGAGGCUCGAAAGCGUGGGGAGCAAACAGGAUUAGAUACCCUGGUAGUCCACGCCGUAAACGAUGAUUACUAGGUGUGGGGGGACUGACCCCUUCCGUGCCGCAGCAAACGCAAUAAGUAAUCCACCUGGGGAGUACGACCGCAAGGUUGAAACUCAAAGGAAUUGACGGGGGCCCGCACAAGCAGUGGAGUAUGUGGAUUAAUUCGAAGCAACGCGAAAAACCUUACCAGGUCUUGACAUCGUAUGCAUAGCUCAGAGAUGAGUGAAAUCUCUUCGGAGACAUAUAGACAGGUGGUGCAUGGUUGUCGUCAGCUCGUGUCGUGAGAUGUUGGGUUAAGUCCCGCAACGAGCGCAACCCUUACUGUUAGUUGCUACGCAAGAGCACUCUAGCAGGACUGCCGUUGACAAAACGGAGGAAGGUGGGGAUGACGUCAAAUCAUCAUGCCCCUUAUGACCUGGGCCUCACACGUACUACAAUGGCUGUCAACAGAGGGAAGCAAAGCCGCGAGGUGGAGCGAACCCCUAAAAGCAGUCUUAGUUCGGAUUGUAGGCUGCAACCCGCCUACAUGAAGUCGGAAUUGCUAGUAAUCGCAGAUCAGCAUGCUGCGGUGAAUACGUUCCCGGGCCUUGUACACACCGCCCGUCACGCCAUGGGAGUCGGUAACACCCGAAGCCUGUAGUCUAACCGCAAGGAGGACGCAGUCGAAGGUGGGAUUGAUGACUGGGGUGAAGUCGUAACAAGGUA
This 1470-nucleotide ribosomal RNA is filed under the name metagenome. Its description in RNAcentral is "bacterial SSU rRNA". It matches the Rfam family "Bacterial small subunit ribosomal RNA". The record is from RNAcentral.